AACGCGAAGAACCUUACCAGCUUUUGACAUGUCUUGGACGGAUACCAGAGAUGGUUUCCUCUCUUCGGAGCCGAGAACACAGGUGCUGCAUGGCUGUCGUCAGCUCGUGUCGUGAGAUGUUGGGUUAAGUCCCGCAACGAGCGCAACCCUCGCCCUUAGUUGCCAUCAUUAAGUUGGGCACUCUAGGGGGACUGCCGGUGAUAAGCCGGAGGAAGGUGGGGAUGACGUCAAGUCCUCAUGGCCCUUACAGGCUGGGCUACACACGUGCUACAAUGGCGGUGACAACGGGAUGCGAAGGGGCGACCCUUAGCAAAUCUCGAAAAGCCGUCUCAGUUCGGAUUGCACUCUGCAACUCGAGUGCAUGAAGUUGGAAUCGCUAGUAAUCGCGGAUCAGCACGCCGCGGUGAAUACGUUCCCGGGCCUUGUA
Molecule: ribosomal RNA, 427 nt
Filed under: uncultured Alphaproteobacteria bacterium
Lineage: Bacteria; Pseudomonadati; Pseudomonadota; Alphaproteobacteria
Description: bacterial SSU rRNA
Rfam family: Bacterial small subunit ribosomal RNA
Source: RNAcentral